Long non-coding RNA from Chiroxiphia lanceolata (lance-tailed manakin), 439 nucleotides. RefSeq lists it as uncharacterized. Lineage: Eukaryota; Metazoa; Chordata; Aves; Passeriformes; Pipridae. The record is from RefSeq and is a predicted model, not a curated record. The transcript is spliced from 3 exons.
UGUUCUUCCCUGUUGGUCAUGGCAGGUGAAAGACAGAAACUGUGUCUCAUCCUUCUCAUCAGAUGCUGAUCUGGAGGGGGAAGAACUGGAAGAGCUCCUCCAUCGCUGCUGUUGAGCUACGAGAGGGGCCAGUUUGUGCUGCAGCUGCUCCACGUUGGGAUGUCAUCUCUGUCCCUCUGCUUCCGCUGUGGGAGGUGUCUGGUGAGGAGCUGAGAGCCAAUCCAUCACCUGGCAGUGGCAGCAGGAGCUGACAGCACGAAGCAUCAACAGCAAAGAAAACCAUGUCCAGCCUUUAUUAAUAAUUUUCCUUAGACGAAGGAGAACUAAUAUACUGCUGGUAAUAUCCACACUGCUUUUGUCCUACAAAGAUUUGCCAUUUUACCACUGAGUGAAGCCUGAAAAAGUGUUUCAUUUGCUAUUGCACUCACCAAAAUCUAUA